AGUGAACGCUGACGGUAGGCCUAACACAUGCAAGUCGAACGGCAGCACAGUAAGAGCUUGCUCUUACGGGUGGCGAGUGGCGGACGGGUGAGGAAUACAUCGGAAUCUACUUUUUCGUGGGGGAUAACGUAGGGAAACUUACGCUAAUACCGCAUACGACCUACGGGUGAAAGCAGGGGAUCUUCGGACCUUGUGCGAUUGAAUGAGCCGAUGUCGGAUUAGCUAGUUGGCGGGGUAAAGGCCCACCAAGGCGACGAUCCGUAGCUGGUCUGAGAGGAUGAUCAGCCACACUGGAACUGAGACACGGUCCAGACUCCUACGGGAGGCAGCAGUGGGGAAUAUUGGACAAUGGGCGCAAGCCUGAUCCAGCCAUACCGCGUGGGUGAAGAAGGCCUUCGGGUUGUAAAGCCCUUUUGUUGGGAAAGAAAAGCAGCAGGUUAAUACCCCGCUGUUCUGACGGUACCCAAAGAAUAAGCACCGGCUAACUUCGUG
Molecule: ribosomal RNA, 492 nt
Filed under: uncultured bacterium
Lineage: Bacteria
Description: partial 16S ribosomal RNA
Rfam family: Bacterial small subunit ribosomal RNA
Source: RNAcentral